AAUUUUGGACAAUGGGGGAAACCCUGAUCCAGCAAUGCCGCGUGAGUGAAGAAGGCCUUCGGGUUGUAAAGCUCUUUUGUCAGGGAAGAAACACCGGCUCUAACACAGUCCGGGAAUGACGGUACCUGAAGAAUAAGCACCGGCUAACUACGUGCCAGCAGCCGCGGUAAUACGUAGGGUGCGAGCGUUAAUCGGAAUUACUGGGCGUAAAGCGUGCGCAGGCGGUUAUACAAGACAGGCGUGAAAUCCCCGGGCUUAACCUGGGAAUGGC
This 271-nucleotide ribosomal RNA is filed under the name uncultured beta proteobacterium. RNAcentral describes it as "partial 16S ribosomal RNA". It matches the Rfam family "Bacterial small subunit ribosomal RNA", at positions 360 to 624 of the family's 1533-position model. The record is from RNAcentral. Lineage: Bacteria; Pseudomonadati; Pseudomonadota; Betaproteobacteria.